Molecule: unclassified non-coding RNA, 195 nt
Filed under: plant metagenome
Description: partial contains small subunit ribosomal RNA, internal transcribed spacer 1, and 5.8S ribosomal RNA
Source: RNAcentral
UCUCCGUUGGUGAACCGGCGGAGGGAUCAUUACCGAGUUUACAACUCCCAAACCCCUGUGAACAUACCAUUUGUUGCCUCGGCGGUGCCUGCUUCGGCAGCCCGCCAGAGGACCCAAACCCUUGAUUUUAUACAGUAUCUUCUGAGUAAAUGAUUAAAUAAAUCAAAACUUUCGACAACGGAUCUCUUGGUUCUG